This 730-nucleotide ribosomal RNA is filed under the name uncultured bacterium. RNAcentral describes it as "bacterial SSU rRNA". It matches the Rfam family "Bacterial small subunit ribosomal RNA", at positions 8 to 786 of the family's 1533-position model. The record is from RNAcentral.
AGAGUUUGAUCCUGGCUCAGAACGAACGCUGGCGGCAGGCUUAACACAUGCAAGUCGAGCGCCCCGCAAGGGGAGCGGCAGACGGGUGAGUAACGCGUGGGAAUCUACCCUUUUCUACGGAAUAACGCAGGGAAACUUGUGCUAAUACCGUAUACGCCCUUCGGGGGAAAGAUUUAUCGGGAAAGGAUGAGCCCGCGUUGGAUUAGCUAGUUGGUGGGGUAAAGGCCUACCAAGGCGACGAUCCAUAGCUGGUCUGAGAGGAUGAUCAGCCACAUUGGGACUGAGACACGGCCCAAACUCCUACGGGAGGCAGCAGUGGAGAAUAUUGGACAAUGGGCGCAAGCCUGAUCCAGCCAUGCCGCGUGAGUGAUGAAGGCCCUAGGGUUGUAAAGCUCUUUCACCGGUGAAGAUAAUGACGGUAACCGGAGAAGAAGCCCCGGCUAACUUCGUGCCAGCAGCCGCGGUAAUACGAAGGGGGCUAGCGUUGUUCGGAAUUACUGGGCGUAAAGCGCACGUAGGCGGACAUUUAAGUCAGGGGUGAAAUCCCGGGGCUCAACCCCGGAACUGCCUUUGAUACUGGGUGUCUAGAGUAUGGAAGAGGUGAGUGGAAUUCCGAGUGUAGAGGUGAAAUUCGUAGAUAUUCGGAGGAACACCAGUGGCGAAGGCGGCUCACUGGUCCAUUACUGACGCUGAGGUGCGAAAGCGUGGGGAGCAAACAGGAUUAGAUACC